Molecule: long non-coding RNA, 3111 nt
Organism: Dendrobium catenatum
Lineage: Eukaryota; Viridiplantae; Streptophyta; Magnoliopsida; Asparagales; Orchidaceae
Exons: 2
Source: RefSeq, a predicted model, not a curated record
UCCUCAACCGACCGUUAGAAGGAAAGAAAAUAGUUCAUACACAUCACUACAAUUUCUUCCGCUAACUGAGAUGAAAAGUUACAGCAGAAAAGGAAUGUGGCUACCAAUACCAGAUAUUCUGACAUUUGGAACGAUAGAAAGAGCUGGUUGUUUUUUAUUGAAGUGCUAUAAACUUAUUGGAAAUCACUUUUCAAGAAGUUAUGGGGGUUGUUUGGAAAAUAGUUCUAUGAAAUGUUAUGGCUGAUUGAUUGUUUCAAAGAUGACUAGGCCAUGCAGGCACAAUUUCGUAUUAAAUAAGCUCCACUCAUAUUGGUUCUUGAAAUGAAUGGAAGCAAAUUAUAUAUGAUCACUAGGGAUGAAGUUAUAACAUCUUAUUGAUGUAAAACUUGAAGGAACUUAAAAGAACUAUCAAUAUAUGGCUCAUGAAAGAAAAGCAUUUUAAUAUCUUGGUGAGCACACAGCAGCGAGAUGAGCUUCAUUGUCUCUAAAAUUCUUGUUGCCAGAAAAUGCCCCUUUAUUAAGAAUGUUUUAAUCUUCCAAUCAAAUGUGGAGAACUGCGCCAUACUAAUUUUAAGAUCCAUCUUGGACCAUCAUGCGCAAAUGAAGAUGAAUGAGUAAAUGGACAUUUGAACUCUAAGAUAAGGAUUGGAGGCAAUUUUAGCCAAACAACUGUAUUUAGGUUGAUGCUCAGAGAUCAACCUUGACGGUGAUUUGAAUUGUACGUCGGUUUGGCCCGUAAGCCUCAUGAUUGGUGUCAAUGAGAUGUGCUUCAUCAAUGUCAAUGUGUGAGUAGAUACAAAUCUUAACGUGAUCAAGUGGUGCGGGAGCUAUUUUUUAGUUUCAUAAUGAUUACCCCCAAUUUUUAGAUAUAAAAAGUACAAAAAAGCUUCAUUGCCCCAUUUAUUAUACUUAGUAAAAAGUAUAAUAAAUUAUAUUUUUAUUAGAUUUAAAUGAGAAUUUGACUCUUAAUAAGACAAAAUAGAGAAAAAAGAUUCAUGUAGCCGACCCAACAUAAUGGGAUAAAUGCAUGAUAUUGUUUUUAUUGUUGUUUUGCUCGAUUAUAACUAGAACUCCUAGUAACCCAAAUAAUAACCUAAAUGUAGGAAAAUGGUCAUAUAUAUUGAAGCAACCUUUGUGUGGUGCCUGGAACAAUUUCCAAAGCAAAUGUUAACAGUGGAUUGAUACUUUCAUGAUCAACAAUUGAUUCAAUUGAAGCCAAUUUGGCAAAAGGGUAUACCACAAGUGGCUUACAAAUGGAUGUUAUGUGUACCAUCUCUUGUAUGUUGAUAACAUGUGGAUUCCAUGUCUUGUAUGUUGAUAACAUGUGGAUUCUGGUCAGUGACAUAUCAUAGGUUUAGACUUUGAAAGCUGAUUUGAGAAUUAAAAUUCAAGUUAAAAGAUCUUGGAGCGAGAAGGUAGAUGUAAAGGAUAGAGAUUGUACGAGAUAGAAAUGAAUUCAUUUUUCUUUAAUUCAAUAGAAAUAUGUUAAGGAGGUCUUUCUUGCAAGCAACAAAGCCUAACAAUUCUCUCUAUACUAGUCAUUUCUUGGUUGUCAACAGCUUCCCCUUCUUUGUCUACAAUAGAAGCAUAUGACUAGAGUAUAUUAUGCAUGUGCAACUAGAAGCAUUACGAAACCUAUAGUGAACAACUUUCAUCAACAGGUACAUGGAAAGCAUAGCAAGGCUCAUGUGAAAGAAAUGAAAUAGAUUUUGAACUAUUAACAAGGAAACACAUUAUUGUUUGAUGAGUGGUUGUGGCAAUUUUUUUAAAGUGAUGAUAUUUUCUGGUUCUGAUUAGGUCAGUGACCUUGAUAAAUAUAAGUCAUAAAACGAGCAGAUCUUCACUUUCACAAGGGAUGCCUUAAGUAUCAAGCAAAACAAAAACACAAAAGGAGUUCCAUAAAUUGAAAGGCUUCCUUUAGCUUGCAGUAGUUUUUUUUUUUCCCCGUAAAGAAAGUAAAUGAUACUGAUUGAAGCUGACAAAAAGGUAAUUAGAUUAAUAGGUUUGCAUGGCUGGAAGAUUGGAUUUAGACUAAGAUUGUUCAGUGGAUUAAGGAGAUAAUUAGAGCGUUAUUCACCUAGCCCAUGAUCAAAUAAAUCAUGAGAGAACCAAACAUAUUGACUUAUGGUGUCAUUUCAUCAAAGCAAAAGUUUAAGAUGAUAAAAAUUUAAGUUCAAAAUUUUGCUGACACGUUUAUAAAUAUGAUCCUGAUCCACAAGUUCAUUCCAUUCCUGAAAAUUGUUAGUAUUUGCAAUUUCUGAUGACCAAUAAGGUUUUAAAUGAUGCGAAGGCUAUGCUGACCAAUGAAUUGACUAUGGUAAUUGACUUUGCCUUUAUUUGAGAGGGAGGAUAUUACAAAAGUGGAGAAAUUAUAAGGGUUAUAUCAAGCACCAAGGUGUAAAAGUGGAAGUAAAAAAUAAUGAGAGCAAUGGGCGUGGCUUAUCAUUUUUAUCUAUGAUUUCCAUUGGUUCUUUACUGGGAGAGAAAAGCAAAUAAAAAAUGAUUAGCAAUCAUUCUUUCAUUGGUCUCUUUAUUUUCUUUUUUUUUUUAGGGUAUUUAUUAUUUCGUGCCAGCAUAACUUCUCCUAGACAGGAGAAAUUAUUAGGUGCGGACACCGGACGGAGAGAACCGUACAGUUUACUCUCUCUCUACAGUAAAAGCGCAAUUAAAACGCAGCUACUACAGCAACUGUGCUUUUAAUGUUGACAGAGAGAAAUUCAGAUGAUUCUUUGUGUCCUAUGUCCGCACCUAAUAAUUUUCCCCUAGACAAACCCUAUCUUUCUUUGUGAAACCAAGAAGCAUUUGGGCUGCUUCUCAUAACAGCAUGGCAUUAUAGAAGAAAUGAACUAAAAGCGUGAAUUCUGAAUUAGCCAGCAUCAAUAUUAACGAGUGAAUUUCCAAGGAAUUUCAGAAAAACCUUCCCGUAGAGCACAUACUACAAUGACCUAAGUUAUGCCGCAUCUGAAGCACAGAAUUUACCACAGAGUGAAAAAUCAAGACGCUUAUAGGUCAAAUUUAUCAUUAAGUGCAUCAGUUGAGAUGAACCCCAAGGUGUUGCCAAAGAAAAAGAGUCGUCUUCUAUAGCCAUUUCAAAGAAAGCAGUAAAAACCU